This 2905-nucleotide unclassified non-coding RNA is filed under the name Caenorhabditis elegans. Its description in RNAcentral is "Non-coding transcript of protein-coding gene spat-2". Lineage: Eukaryota; Metazoa; Nematoda; Chromadorea; Rhabditida; Rhabditidae. The record is from RNAcentral.
AUGAGAAGUGGUGGAACCGCACCAACUUAUCACGAUCGAAAGGAGAACGUCAUCGGUGACACUAUUGCAGACAGAUUUGAGACUCGAAUCGGAGAGGAAGUCGAACAGCUGGACGGGGACACAUUUGAGCUGUUCCUCAAGAAUAUUCACGCGAAUCGAAUUUUUGCAGAACUAUCUGCCGGAGGAACCAUCAACAUCAUCUGCUACAGCUGCUGGUGAAGGGGAAUCGACAGAAAAUCAUAUCUCAAUAAUGGGUCUUGUCGAUGAGGCGAAAAAGCGUCUGAACGCGGAAAUCACCGAGCAGCAUAAUCGGAAUACGGCAAAUGCGAAAACUUCCGUCAAAUUCGACGAGGUUAUCGAUUUCAUCGAUGAUGGCGAGGAAGUGAUCGAAAAACCACCACCGCCGGCCGUUCGUGUCAUCACAAAACCACCACACAAUAUGACAUUGCCAAUUUGUGGAAAUCCUGUCACUGAUUAUGAUAAAAUCAAUGAAAUGAAUGGACUUGACGGCGAGAAUCACAUGUUCAAACCGGAGCAACUGCUGGAUCCAUUUUCACGAAUGGAAAUGGGACAAAUGGCACAAGCGGUCGACGAUCUUGAUUUGGAAAAAGUGGAGAAAAGUCAGAAGAAUUACAAGUGUAAUGAGCAAGAACAACUCGAUUGGCUCAUGGAGAGACGGCUCAUUGAAUUCAAAAAAUAUAAUGUUCUGGGACCAGCAUCAAAAGGCGAAUUCUCGGCAUUCAUGGAAAGCCUAUCGACACCAGUUAUCUCAUGUGAUGUGGGUGUCACGAAUCCUCUCUCCGCUCCAAAUUAUUCAACAUUUCAAUGCCUGACACCAAAUGGUCGACUACUUCCAGCAGUUCCACGAAAGUAUCCAUCACAAUCAGAGCCACCACCGAGAAGCCGUCCGGCUCCACAGAAGCCUCCGAUUACGAUAAUGCUUCAGUCGAACUCACGGCUCACGGCCAAUAAUACAAUUACUCCACCAUCGUCAGCUUCAACAUCGCCUCCGCCACCGGAUCCGGAAAAUCAGAAGAAGAAGAAGAAGCUCAAAAAGGCUGAUGAGUCUGAAGAUCACGAAGAAGCCGAGGAGGAAGAGGAUAAGGAAAAUGAGAUUAGUGUCGAGGAACGAGAGGCUCGACGUGCGAAAAAUCGAAAAAUACGGGAGAAAAAGGCCAGAAAGAAGGCCGCUCAGGAGGCCAGACAGGCUGCCGAGGAGGCCCGGCAGGCCGAACAUUUGCAACGAGAGGAGAGGAUUCUGGCGAACAGCGUUGUGAGGAUGGCCUUGCAAGAAGGGCUACCACCACCACAAGAGGAAUCGCCGAAAAAUCGUCCAAAUGGCCGCCGAUCGAUUGGAACACAGGGUGGAAAGCAUAAGAAGAAUGAGAAAGGUGUCAGUCAGGAGUAUACUGUCAAGGAAAAUGGACGAAGGUUUUUAGAUAUGUCUGAUCUCUAUUGUAGUGGAGAGGAUUCACAAAAUCUGUCGAAGAUCCUGAAAGAUCUUGGGAUCAACGAUAUCUCGGAGCUGAGCGAGAAUCCGGGUAAAAAGAACAAAAAAGGAGUGGCGGGAGCUGCUGGUUCAGGAAAGAAGAACAGUAAGCAGCAACAAGUGAAGCGGGAGCAACCACAAAAAGAAGUUGCACGAGCACCGCCUGCCGACAACGAACCGAUUGUAGCAGAAGAGGAAGAGGAGAAGAGUGAUAAGAAAAUGGAUGAGGUUGCCGUCGCUGCCUCUAUCACUUCCAGAAAACGUUCAUCAUCUGGUGCCGCACAACAAUCAGAAGAGGACGACGAUCAAUCAUACGUAUCGGCACAGGAAAAUCUUGGAGGAUCCAACAGUCGUCUUUCUACACCACCGACCGAAUUCGCAGACGCCCGUCAAUCUCGUGAUGAAGCGAUUGAGAAUGUGAUGGCUGAUCCGAAUAACUACAGAGAUGACGAUGAUGUGGAAACACUUGCAAAACAGUUACAACAGGAAGAAGACGAGUUUAUCACAGUUGGAAAGAAUCGAAAAAAGAAUAAGAAGCAAUCGUCUGUACAGGAUAAUGGAUCAUCUUCAUCGUCGGCUUCAUCUUCAGCUUCACCAUCCAAUCGUCGUAAUACACUUCCAGAUGCUCGUGCUUCAUCUGCAAUUGGAUAUGCUUCAUCAUCAUCUACUGCAACACCGGCAACUCCUCAGUCUCAGCAACAACAGCAUUUCCAGAGAAAUCGCCCGGCUGCUCAUUCGACAACUCUUGCCGAUUUCAUUGAUUCCACCAAAAAGGAGACACAUAAGAAUGUGAAGCACAAGAAGAUUAGUGCCGGAGCCGGAGCACACCACAAGAAGCAUGAAUCGAUGGAAGAGCCCGUCUUUUUGGAUGCUCCUGAGACAAUUUCUGUUAAUACGGCGCCAGGAUUCUCGUACGCGGACGCUGCGAAGAAGACAUCAGGAGAAAAUUCACCAGAAAUGUCUCCAAUUCCACCACCACCACCAGCAUCCACAGCUUCUGCUGAGCCAAUUGUUGAGAAGAAGCCGUUGAGAGAAGGUUCCAGUGGAGGAGCUGUACAGCUUCCACCGUCGACUCUUGCCGCUUCGGAUAUUUCGUUUGGAUAUGAGGAGACGCCAGAAGACAAACGAAAGCGUCUUCAAAAGGAAUCAAAAAGUGUCACAUCUCCACCACCACCAACACAAAAAGCUCCUCCGCCGCCGCCAACUCGAAUGAACGGUGACGAUUUGUUGAGAUCAUUCACCACACAAGAUGGAAAUGGUGGAAAUCGUCUUGCCGGACUUCAGGAAAUGCCAAAAACUUGGUCAAGUGAAUCAAAUGUUCUUGGAACAGAGAUACUUGCCAAUUGGAAACCUCAAUGGGAAAAAUUUAUGAAUACUGGAGCCAAGCCCAUCACAUUCGUCCCAAAGAAGAAAUAA